Molecule: long non-coding RNA, 6631 nt
Filed under: Lathyrus oleraceus (garden pea)
Lineage: Eukaryota; Viridiplantae; Streptophyta; Magnoliopsida; Fabales; Fabaceae
Description: Pisum sativum (pea) long non-coding RNA (PSAT_LNC041264)
Source: RNAcentral
GAAUUGUGUGCAUGAUGAAAAUUUUGUUGUUAAACCUAUGUAAUUUGAUUGGAUUGUGUGAAUGAUGAAAACGUUGUUGUUAAACCUAUUAAAUUUGAUUGAAUUAUGGAAAUGAUGAAAUGUUGAUGUUAAACCCAUGAAACUUGAUUGAAUUGUGGGAAUGAUGAAAAUGUUGAUGCUAAACCCAUGAAAUUCGAUUGAAUGGUAGGAAUGAUGAAAAUGUUGAUUUUAAACCCAUGAAAUUUGAUUGAAUUGUGGGAAUGAUAAAAAUGAUGAUGUUAAACCCAUGAAAGUUGAUUGAAUUGGGGAAUGAUGAAAAAGAUGAUGUUAAACCCAUGAAAUUUGAUUGAAUUUUGGGAAUGAUGAAAAUGUUGAUGCUAAACCCAUAAAAUUUGAUUGAAUGGUAGGCAUAAUGAAAAUGUUGAUGUUAAACCCAUGAAAUUUGAUUAAUUGUGGGAAUGAUGUAAAUCUUGUUUUUAAACCCCUGAAAUUUGAUUGAAUUGUGUGAAUAAUGAAAAUGUUGUUGUUAAACUCAUGAAAUUGAUUGAAUUGUGGGAAUGAUGAAAAUGUUGAUGUUAAACCCAUGAAAUUUGAUUGAAUUAUGGGAAUGAAGAAAAUGUUGAUGUUAAACCCAUGAAUAUUGAUUGAAUUGUGGGAAUGAUGAAAAUGUUGAUGUUAAACCCAUGAAAUUUGAUUGAAUUGUGGGAAUGAUGAAAAUGUUGUUAUUAUACCCAUGAAAUUUGAUUGGAUUGUGUGAAUGAUGAAAAUGUUGAUGUUAAACCCAUGAAAUUUGAUUCAGUUGUGGGAAUGAUGAAAAUGUUGAUGCUAAACCCAUGAAAUUUGAUUGAAUUGUGGGAAUGAUGAAAAUGAUGAUGUUAAACCCAUGAAAUUCGAUUGAAUUGUGGGAAUGAUGAAAAUGUUGAUGUUAAACCCACGAAAUUCAAUUGAAUUGUGGGACUGAUGAAAAUUUUGUUAUUAAACCCAUGAAAUUUGAUUGAAUUGUGUGAAUGAUGAAAAUAUUGUUGUUAAACCGUUGAAAUUUGAUUGAAUUGUGUGAAUGAUGAAAACGUUGUCGUUAAACAUAUGAAAUUUGAUUGAAUUGUGAAAAUGAUGAAAUGUUGAUGUUAAACCCAUGAAAUUGGAUUGAAUUUUGCGAAUGAUGAAAAUGUUGAUGUUAAACCCAUGAAAUUUAAUAGAAUUGUUGGAAUGAUAAAAAUGAUGAUGUUGAACCCAUGAAAGUUGAUUGAAUUGUGGGAAUAAAUGAAAAUAUUGUUGUUAAAACCAAGAAAUUUGAUUGAAUUAUGUGAAUGAUGAAAAUUUUGUUGUUAAACCCAUAAAAUUUGAUUGAAUUGUGUGAAUGAUGAAAAUGUUGUUGUUAAACCCAUGAAAUUAGAUUGAAUUGUGGGAAUGAUAAAAAUGAUGAUGUUAAACUCAUGAAAUUUGAUUGAAUUGUGUGAGUGAUGAAAAUGAUGAUGUUAAACCCAUGAAAUUGGAUUGAAUUGUGGGAAUGAUGAAAAAGAUGGUGUUAAACCCAUGAAAUUUGAUUGAAUUUGUGGAAUGAUGAAAAUGUUGAUGCUAAACCCAUGAAACUUGAUUGAAUGGUAGGUAUGAUGAAAAUGUUGAUGUUAAACCCAUGAAAUUUGAUUGAAUUGUGGUAAUGAUAUAAAUGAUGAUGUUAAACCCAUGAAAUUUGAUUGAAUUGUGGGAAUGAUGAAAAAGAUGAUGUUAAACCCAUAAAAUUUGAUUGAAUUAUUUGCAUUAUGAAAAUGUUGUUGUUAAACCCAUGAAAUUUUAUUGAGUGGUAGGCAUGAUGAAAAUGUUGAUGUUAAACCCAUGAAAUUUGAUUGAAUUGUGGGAAAGAUAAAAAUGAUGAUGUUAAACUCAUGAAAUUUGAUUGAAUUAUGGGAAUGAUGAAAAUGAUGAUGUUAAACCCAUGAAAUUUGAUUGAAUUGUGGGAAUGAUGAAAAUGUUGAUGUUAAACCCAUGAAAUUUGAUUGAAUUGUGGGAAUGAUGAAAAUGUUGAUGUUAAACCCAUGAAAUUUGAUUGAAUUGUGGGAAUGAUGAAAAUGUUGAUGUUAAACCCAUGAAAUUUGAUUGAAUUGUGGGAAUUAUAGAAAUGAUGAUGUUAAACCCAUGAAAUUUGAUUGAAUUGUGGGAAUGAUGAAAAUGUUGAUGUUAAACCCAUGAAAUUUGAUUGAAUUGUGGGAAUGAUGAAAAUGUUGAUGUUAAACCCAUGAAAUUUGAUUGAAUUGUGGGAAUGAUGAAAAUGUUGAUGUUAAACCCAUGAAAUUUGAUUGAAUUGUGGGAAUGAUGAAAAUGUUGAUGUUAAACCCAUGAAAUUUGAUUGAAUUGUGGGAAUGAUGAAAAUGUUGAUGUUAAACCCAUGAAAUUUGAUUGAAUUGUGGGAAUGAUGAAAAUGUUGAUGUUAAACCCAUGAAAUUUGAUUGAAUUGUGGGAAUGAUGAAAAUGUUGAUGUUAAACCCAUGAAAUUUGAUUGAAUUGUGGGAAUGAUGAAAAUGUUGAUGUUAAACCCAUGAAAUUUGAUUGAAUUGUGGGAAUGAUGAAAAUGUUGAUGUUAAACCCAUGAAAUUUGAUUGAAUUGUGGGAAUGAUGAAAAUGUUGAUGUUAAACCCAUGAAAUUUGAUUGAAUUGUGGGAAUGAUGAAAAUGUUGAUGUUAAACCCAUGAAAUUUGAUUGAAUUGUGGGAAUGAUGAAAAUGUUGAUGUUAAACCCAUGAAAUUUGAUUGAAUUGUGGGAAUGAUGGAAAUGAUGAUGUUAAACCCAUGAAAUUUGAUUGAAUUGUGGGAAUGAUGAAAAUGUUGAUGUUAAACCCAUGAAAUUUGAUUGAAUUGUGGGAAUGAUGAAAAUGAUGAUGUUAAACCCAUGAAAUUUGAUUGAAUUGUGGGAAUGAUGAAAAUGUUGAUGUUAAACCCAUUAAAUUUGAUUGAAUUGUGGGAAUGAUGAAAAUGUUGUUAUUAAACCCAUGAAAUUUGAUUGAAUUGUGUGAAUGAUGAAAAUAUUGUUGUUAAACCUUUAAAAUUUGAUUGAAUUGUGUGAAUGAUGAAAACGUUGUUGUUAACCAUAUGAAAUUUGAUUGAAUUGUGAAAAUGAUGAAAUGUUGAUGUUAAACCCAUGAAAUUGGAUUGAAUUCUGCGAAUGAUGAAAAUGUUGAUUUUAAACCCAUGAAAUUUGAUUGAGUUGUUGGAAUGAUAAAAAUGAUCAUGUUAAACCUAUGAAAGUUGAUUGAAUUGUGGGAAUAAAUGAAAAUAUUGUUGUUAAAACCAAGAAAUUUGAUUGAAUUAUGUGAAUGAUGAAAAUUUUGUUGUUAAACCCAUAAAUUUUGAUUGAAUUGUGUGAAUGAUGAAAAUGUUGUUGUUAAACCCAUGAAAUUAGAUUGAAUUGUGGGAAUGAUAAAAAUGAUGAUGUUAAACCCAUGAAAUUUGAUUGAAUUGUGGGAAUGAUGAAAAAUAUGGUGUUAAACCCAUGAAAUUUGAUUGAAUUUGUGGAAUCAUGAAAAUGUUGAUGCUAAACCCAUGAAAUUUGAUUGAAUGGUAGGCAUGAUGAAAAUGUUGAUGUUAAACCCAUGAAAUUUGGUUGAAUUGUGGUAAUGAUAUAAAUGAUGAUGUUAAACCCAUGAAAUUUGAUUGAAUUGUGGGAAUGAUGAAAAUGUUGAUGUUAAACCCAUGAAAUUUGAUUGAAUUGUGGGAAUGAUGAAAAUGUUGAUGUUAAACCCAUGAAAUUUGAUUGAAUUGUGGGAAUGAUGAAAAUGAUGAUGUUAAACCCAUGAAAUUUGAUUGAAUUGUGGGAAUGAUGAAAAUGUUGAUGUUAAACCCAUGAAAUUUGAUUGAAUUGUGGGAAUGAUGAAAAUGUUGAUGUUAAACCCAUGAAAUUUGAUUGAAUUGUGGGAAUGAUGAAAAUGUUGAUGUUAAACCCAUGAAAUUUGAUUGAAUUGUGGGAAUGAUGAAAAUGUUGAUGUUAAACCCAUGAAAUUUGAUUGAAUUGUGGGAAUGAUGAAAAUGUUGAUGUUAAACCCAUGAAAUUUGAUUGAAUUGUGGGAAUGAUGAAAAUGUUGAUGUUAAACCCAUGAAAUUUGAUUGAAUUGUGGGAAUGAUGAAAAUGUUGAUGUUAAACCCAUGAAAUUUGAUUGAAUUGUGGGAAUGAUGAAAAUGUUGAUGUUAAACCCAUGAAAUUUGAUUGAAUUGUGGGAAUGAUGAAAAUGUUGAUGUUAAACCCAUGAAAUUUGAUUGAAUUGUGGGAAUGAUGAAAAUGUUGAUGUUAAACCCAUGAAAUUUGAUUGAAUUGUGGGAAUGAUGAAAAUGUUGAUGUUAAACCCAUGAAAUUUGAUUGAAUUGUGGGAAUGAUGAAAAUGUUGAUGUUAAACCCAUGAAAUUUGAUUGAAUUGUGGGAAUGAUGAAAAUGAUGAUGUUAAACCCAUGAAAUUUGAUUGAAUUGUGGGAAUGAUGAAAAUGUUGAUGUUAAACCCAUGAAAUUUGAUUGAAUUGUGGGAAUGAUGAAAAUGUUGAUGUUAAACCCAUGAAAUUUGAUUGAAUUGUGGGAAUGAUGAAAAUGUUGAUGUUAAACCCAUGAAAUUUGAUUGAAUUGUGGGAAUGAUGAAAAUGUUGAUGUUAAACCCAUGAAAUUUGAUUGAAUUGUGGGAAUGAUGAAAAUGUUGAUGUUAAACCCAUGAAAUUUGAUUGAAUUGUGGGAAUGAUGAAAAUGUUGAUGUUAAACCCAUGAAAUUUGAUUGAAUUGUGGGAAUGAUGAAAAUGUUGAUGUUAAACCCAUGAAAUUUGAUUGAAUUGUGGGAAUGAUGAAAAUGUUGAUGUUAAACCCAUGAAAUUUGAUUGAAUUGUGGGAAUGAUGAAAAUGUUGAUGUUAAACCCAUGAAAUUUGAUUGAAUUGUGGGAAUGAUGAAAAUGUUGAUGUUAAACCCAUGAAAUUUGAUUGAAUUGUGGGAAUGAUGAAAAUGUUGAUGUUAAACCCAUGAAAUUUGAUUGAAUUGUGGGAAUGAUGAAAAUGUUGAUGUUAAACCCAUGAAAUUUGAUUGAAUUGUGGGAAUGAUGGAAAUGAUGAUGUUAAACCCAUGAAAUUUGAUUGAAUUGUGGGAAUGAUGAAAAUGUUGAUGUUAAACCCAUGAAAUUUGAUUGAAUUGUGGGAAUGAUGAAAAUGAUGAUGUUAAACCCAUGAAAUUUGAUUGAAUUGUGGGAAUGAUGAAAAUGAUGAUGUUAAACCCAUGAAAUUUGAUUGAAUUGUGGGAAUGAUGAAAAUGUUAAUGUUAAACCCAUGAAAUUUGAUUGAAUUGUGGGAAUGAUGAAAAUGUUGUUAUCAUACCCAUGAAAUUUGAUUGGAUUGUGUGAAUGAUGAAAAUGUUGUAGUUAAACCUAUGAGAUUUGAUUGAAUUAUGGAAAUGAUGAAAUAUUAAUGUUAUACCCAUGAACUUUGAUUGAAUUAUGUGAAUAAUGAAAACGUUGUUGUUAAACCCAUGAAAUUUGAUUGAAUUGCGGGAAUGAUGAAAAUGUUGAUGUUAAACCCAUGAAAUUUGAUUCAGUUGUGGGAAUGAUGAAAAUGUUGAUGUUAAACACAUGAAAUUUGAUUGAAUUGUGGGAAUGAUGAAAAUGACGAUGUUAAACCCAUGAAAUUUGAUUGAAUUGCGGGAAUGAUGAAAAUGUUGAUGUUAAACCCAUGAAAUUUGAUUCAGUUGUGGGAAUGAUGAAAAUUUUGAUGCUAAACCCAUGAAAUUUGAUUGAAUUGUGGGAAUGAUGAAAAUGAUGAUGUUAAACCCCUGAAAUUUGAUUGAAUUGUGGGAAUGAUGAAAAUGUUGAUGUUAAACCCAUGAAAUUUAAUUGAAUUGUGGGACUGAUGAAAAUGUUGUUAUUAAACCCAUGAAAUUUGAUUGAAUUGUGUGAAUGAUGAAAAUAUUGUUGUUAAACCUUUGAAAUUUGAUUGAAUUGUGUGAAUGAUGAAAACGUUGUCGUUAAACAUAUGAAAUUUGAUUGAAUUGUGAAAAUGAUGAAAUAUUGAUGUUAAACCCAUGAAAUUGGAUUGAAUUUUGCGAAUGAUGAAAAUGUUGAUGUUAAACCCAUGAAAUUUGAUUGAAUUGUUGGAAUGAUAAAAAUGAUGAUGUUGAACCCAUGAAAGUUGAUUGAAUUGUGAAAAUAAAUGAAAAUAUUGUUGUUAAAACCAAGAAAUUUGAUUGAAUUAUGUGAAUGAUGAAAAUUUUGUUGUUAAACCCAUAAAAUUUGAUUGAAUAGUGUGAAUGAUGAAAAUGUUGUUGCUAAACCCAUGAAAUUUGAUUGCAUUGUGGGAAUGAUGAAAAUGUUGAUGUUAAACUCAUAAAAUUUGAUUGAAUUGUGUGAAUGAUGAAAAUGUUGUUGUUAAACACAUGAAAUUAGAUUGAAUUGUGGGAAUGAGAAAAAUGAUGAUGUUAAACCCAUGAAAUUUGAUUGAAUUGUGGGAAUGAGGAAAAAGAUAGUGUUAAACACAUGAAAUUUGAUUAAAUUGUGGGAAUGAUGAAAAUGUUGAUGCUAAACCCAUGAAAUUUGAUUGAAUUGUGGGAAUGAUGAAAAAGAUGAUGUUAAACCCAUAAAAUUUGAUUGAAUUGUGUGCAUGAUGAAAAUGUUGUUGUUAAACC